Helianthus annuus (common sunflower) is the source of this 1672-nucleotide long non-coding RNA. RefSeq lists it as uncharacterized. NCBI's taxonomy places the organism in Eukaryota, Viridiplantae, Streptophyta, Magnoliopsida, Asterales, Asteraceae. The transcript is spliced from 4 exons. The record is from RefSeq and is a predicted model, not a curated record.
CUGAUAUCGAGGCUAAACCUAUUCCUGUCACUCCCUUCUUAUCAAAAUCUCAAAACACUUGUGGAGUAGAGGCUGCGUGCUAGGGGCAGCAGUGUGUGGCGAUUCACCGUGUUGCUUCGACAUUUGAAGUCGACGACGACCUUACAUUCAAAGAGGUCUGCUUUGUCUACACUCCAUUUGAAGUCGUCAAUCCCCAAUUCCUAAUUUUUAAGAGAGCCUUAGAUUAUAAAAUUACAUAGCUUUCUUAUGGAUACUCAACUAAGAAGGCCCAUGAUACUCAAUGUUAAGGUAAACUAUCUUACAUCUUGCUUUUUAGUACAAUUGGAUUUGAUUUUUAAUCAACACAGCUCAAAUGAAAGGAAAACUCGUAGAAUAUGGUGAUCUCAGCUGAAAUCUUGGUUUGGUGUCCUAACUGUUUUGACAUGUUAGUAACUAAGUUGAAUUUGACACUUCUGAUAAAAUAUCAAAAACCCUUUUUACGUUUGUAUUACAACUACGUCGCGUGGCGUUAAACCGCAAAAAAAAAUCAACUUCUAUGAAACUUGAUGCAAAAAAAGCAUCGCACAUGUGCCUGAUAUACAGUAUAUGUGUAUGCGUUUGUUUUAUACUUAAUAAAAAAUGCGCUAGCAUGCAUAUAUGUCUGGAAAAUGUCUGUAUAGUUAUAGUAUAAACUUCUUUUUUCUCACCCUUAAGACAUUAGCCUAUCAUGCAUUAAUGCAGAUGUAUGCAUUUUUACUCAUUCUAUUUUUUAAUAAAAAUAUAACAGGGGUGGGCUAUUAUGCAACUCAUGGCUAAAGUAGAGGCUUGCACAUUUAACAUUGUGGGGUUUGACUUAAAAUAUGGUCAAAUAAAUAGUGAGAAUUCCAAAACUACUUAUGUGGAAAUUGGUAUGAUCAUAAAGAAUUCAAUUAUAACUUGCAAAGGGGUGGGCUAUUAUGCAUAUCAUGGCUAAAGUAGAGGUUUACACAUUUAACAUUGUGGGUUUGACUUAAAAUAUAGUCAGAUAAACAAUGAGAAUUCCAAAACGACUAAUGUGAAAUAUGGUCUGGGUGUUCGUGCUGCUGAUGUUUGGGGUGUAAUACCAAGUCGUUCGGCAUGUCAUAGAGAAAACAUUCAAUUGAAGUCUCAAUGUGAAGAACUUACUAGUACUGUGGUCCAGUUACGAGCCCAAGUAUCAGAGAUGGAAGGGUCGAGGGGUGGUUCGAGUGUUCAACCUCUUGUAUCACAACGUUUCCCCAAUGUAAACAAUGGAUAUCAACGUUUACGGGUCGGAGAUAAAGUUUUCCUCAAAAGCAUUCUAAACUCUACCGAGGUUGUAGCAAGAUGAAGGGUCCAGAGCUUGGACCCGAAUGAUCUAGUUGGUGGUACAGAGAUUAGACCAGAAUAGUGUGAGGUAAACGUUCAAGUACCAAUAAAAAAGAUGAAAACUUGGUAAGACCAUAUGGUUUAUUUUCUACAAUUCAAGAUUAUAUUGGUGCAUCCAUCUCAUGGCCCUAUCCAUUCAUAUCGGUAGUCCAUGAGGAUUGAGGACACACGAUGACUCAGGAUUUUUCUUCUUAUUUCUUUAAUUGCUUUUAAUUUCUUUGUUAAAUGUUAAGACUUUAUGUUAGAUAAUGUUAUAACUUACUUAUGGUUAGUGUUUUUGUUAUAAAUAUGCUUAUUUGAAAAAUAA